This 77-nucleotide transfer RNA is filed under the name Aeneator elegans. RNAcentral describes it as "tRNA-Val". Lineage: Eukaryota; Metazoa; Mollusca; Gastropoda; Neogastropoda; Buccinidae. The record is from RNAcentral.
GAAAAACAUAGUAUAGCAUAAUACGUUUCACUUACACUGAAAAUAUACUUAAGUAAUAAGUUGUUUUUAAACUAAAC